Molecule: unclassified non-coding RNA, 918 nt
Filed under: Dendronephthya gigantea
Lineage: Eukaryota; Metazoa; Cnidaria; Anthozoa; Malacalcyonacea; Nephtheidae
Description: eF-hand calcium-binding domain-containing protein 10- like, transcript variant X2
Source: RNAcentral
UUGAAGUUUUAUAACAUAUUGUUUGAAUAAAAACCCAUUGGUGGAGGAACAAGACUCAACGAGUUGGUGGUUUGUCAAAAAAAAAUAAGUAAAAUUUGACCGAAAAUUCACUUCCGAAUCCGGUGCGACUUAUAUUAUGCUAAUUAUAUUCUGAAUUAUACUAUCAGAAGCGGACAUAAAUAUUACCAGUAAUUACCCACAUAAACCGUCGACAACCGACAUUUAACGACAAUGAGUGGCUGGUCGGUUUAGCGGUUUGUCCUUCGUGGAUCUAUGAAAGUAUAAUUAUUCGCCAAUGUAAGCGAAAACCCAAGGACGUUGAUGAGAGAUCACAUAAGAAACCUGAUGGAAUCCAGAGAAUUUGAUCUAGAUUUCCCAUGCCUUUUUGAUUCGAGUAAUAUAAAAUGUUUGUUUGGAAUACUAGACGCGUCUUGUGGUGGUCAUAUUAUACCUGAACAAUUCAGAUCAGCGUUAGAGGUUGUCGGCGCCAGCAUCAUCCAGGAAGAUGACGUUCCAGAUCUAUUAGACAACGAUGGCAUUCCUUUCGACGUUUUCCUCACCAAAAUGAGAGAAGGGAUAUCGAAUUCAUCGGCUACGUUUGCACCUGAUUUUUGAGGUCAGUAUAGAAACCAGAUGCUAGCUACAUGAAGGCGAAUAUUUUGUUUGUUUUAAUUUUUCUUCCAAACGAACGGAAAUAGAAGUAUUUUAACCGUCACUCAGUGUAAUAAAAUACAAUUAACGGGUAACUCUCAGUUUUGAGUUGGUUGAAAUAUAGGUCACUCUAGCUGCAAAGCUUCCAAUUAGUAGACAAAAUGUGCGGCUUUGGUCAAGCAUUUUUUAGGUUAUGGCGAUGUUUUUUAACCCAAAGUAGUAGACUCGGUCAAGCCUCGUGAGUUUUUCGCAAACAGCUGCUGCAUA